UAUGGAACCACCGUUGUGUGCUCCGUGCAUUACGUCGAAGGCAAAUACGCCCUCUAAUCAACUCCGUAACUUGCUCGGGUUGGUGGGGCUUGACAAGACAAUCAAG
Molecule: unclassified non-coding RNA, 106 nt
Filed under: Artemisia scoparia
Lineage: Eukaryota; Viridiplantae; Streptophyta; Magnoliopsida; Asterales; Asteraceae
Also listed under: 1 other name
Description: partial miscellaneous RNA
Source: RNAcentral